Long non-coding RNA from Neltuma alba, 710 nucleotides. RefSeq lists it as uncharacterized. NCBI's taxonomy places the organism in Eukaryota, Viridiplantae, Streptophyta, Magnoliopsida, Fabales, Fabaceae. The transcript has 3 exons. The record is from RefSeq and is a predicted model, not a curated record.
AAAAACAGAAAAAAGGGAAAAAAAAGAAAAAAAGCUGGUUUGAAGAUUUUCUUUUUCUUGCUACUAUAUUCUUCCGCAUCUACUGUUGCUUUUGUUGUGGGCAAUAAAAGACUAAGAAGAAGUCUGCAAUUUAAUGAGAACAAGUUUUGGUGCUUCCUUCAUCUGUGCUUUAUCUGUCGCAAGAGUGGAGCUGAUCGUAUAAAGUGAUACUGAACUUUAGCUGCUGCCUUUCUCACAUCUCAAGCUCAGGACGAUUAACUUCUCAUUCACAUUGAGCAAGGAAGUAAGAAUGGACAUUCUCAUUUCUGUUGGUGCAAAAAUAGCGGAACUUACUGUAGAACCCGUUGGAAGGCAAGCGGAAUAUUUAUUAUGCUAUAGAAACAUUCUUAAGGAGCUAAAGGAUCAAGUAGAGGAGCUGAAGACAACGAAAGAACGUAUCGACCAUCAAGUUGACGCUGAAAGAAGAAAUGGAAGGGAGAUAGAAGGUGAUGUGCUAAGAUGGCAAGAAAGUGUUACUAAGACUUUAGAAGAAGCACAGCAACUUUGUGAAGAUUCAGGUGAUGGAAAUGCGGGAUGCUCCAAAUGGUCUUUUCCUAAAUUGAAGUCCCGACAUCAGCAUAGCAGAAAAGCAAAGAAAAUGGCAAAAACCAUUGUUGAAUUGAAAAAAGAGGGGAAUUUUGAUAAAGGAGUUGGGCGUGUUCCACCUUUAG